CUGGGGCUGGGGAGACAGAUGUGUUGGCCGUCUGGCCUCAGAGGAGGGAUGCCUGAGGGAUGCAGAGUAGACAUCUGGCAGGACCAGCCAGCAGUCACUGGCCUUGGUUUGGAUGCCAGCCUCUUGGGGGGCAGUGCCUGCACCCCUGGACUAGUGGGGUAUCCCCUUUGUGCUCCGACUAUGCCAGUGCAUCCUCCAUCACAGUAGCUGUCUCUGGACUGCAGCUGGCUCCAGGCUGGAGGAAAUCUCAAUGGGGGCUAACGAUGAUGUUGCACCAAGACCUGAAGGAAGUGAGUGGCCAUGCCAAGAGGUGGAGAACUCCAGACAGUGGGCAUGCAAGGUACAAAGGCCGUGGGGUGGGAAUGAAAGUGUCUGGUUCCAGGAACAGCAAGGAGGUGGGUGGACUGGACCGGGGUAAGUGAAGGUCAGAUGGAAGGGAAAGUGAGUGGGAGGUUACAGGGGUCACACAGGGCCUCCUAGGCUGGGUGGGGAGGGGAGCAGGUUUCACCCUGAGGGCUUUGGGGAGAAGGGUACAGGAAACAGUAACAACCCCAGUGGGAUCCCCUGUGUGGAGACCCUUCCCUGGGGUCUCAGUGUCCCAUUUCACUUUCCCUCUUUUCGGCCCACUGCCCUGCCUCAUAUUACUUGGAUCCACAAUCAACACCCAUGGAAGCAGCAGUCAAGAAAUCAAAAGACUCAUUGCAUUGGGCAAAUCGGCUGCAAAAGACCGCUUUAAAGUAUUGAAAAGCAAAGAUGUCACCUUGAGGAUUAAAGUGCACCUGACCCAAACCAUGGUGUUUUUGCCUCAUACGCAUGUGAAAGCUGGACAAUGAAUAAGGAAGACUGAAGAAGAGUUGGCCCCUUUGAACUGUGGUGCUGGCGAAGAAUACUGAAUAUACCAUGGACUGCUAAAAGAACGAACAAAUCUCAGAGGACGUACAAACAAAAUGCUCCUUAGAAGCAAGGACGGUGAGACUAUGUCUCACAUAAUUUGGACAUGUUAUCAAGAGGGGUCAGUCCCUGGAGAGGGACAUCAUGCUUGGUAAAACAGAGGGUCAGCAAGGAAGAGAAAGACCCUCAAUGAGAUGGACUGACACGGUGGCUACAACAACGGGCUCAGGCAUGGUAACAGUUGUGAGGAUGGCGCAAGACUGGGGAGUAUUUUGUUCUGUUGUGCACAGGGUCGCUAUGAGUUAGAACCAACUUGACAGCACCUAACAACAGUUCUGCCUCUGCCCAUGGUGGGGGGUCACGGCCACCUGUUACCCAACCCCUCACUGCUUCCCCUCCUACCUCCCCCCACCCCACUGUUUCUCAACCUGUUUUCAGUCCUACUUCCUCACUCUCACUUCUGGGCCUGAUGAAACCGUUGGGGGAAACUUUACUUUCAGUGGUUUCAGCCACACCUCUCAGUGGUUUCAAUUCCCUCCUCCGGUUCAGCACCACAGGGCCCGCAGAGCCUGAGGUGGGCCUGACAUUGAGGCCCUGGGCAGCCACCAGCUGCUCCACAGGCACCUUUGUAUAUUCAAGGCUUUGAGAAGGCCCGCUCCUCAGGACACAGUGGUCACAAGUGACCCCAUGUGUGCAGUGGGAGCUGGCCAAGGGGGUGUGGAGAGGGUGGAGUUGUGUCCCCCAAGAAGAUAUGCCCAUGUCCUAAUCCCUGGGACCUGUGAACAUGAUCUUGUUUGGACAUACGGUCUGUGCAGGUGUGAUUAAUGGUCUCAAGGUGAAAUCAACCCCGGUUUAAGGUGGACCCUAAAUCCGAUGGCCAGUGUUCUUAUAAGAGACAGAAGAAGAGAAGACACAGAGGAGAGGGCCAUGUGACAGUGGAGGCAGAGACAGGAGUGAUGCGCCACAAGCCCAGGACUGCCUGGAGCCACCAGGAGCUGGAGAAGACAAGGAAGGAGCCUCCAAAGGGGCACAGCCCUGGUGACACUCUUAUUUUUGACUGUGGUUCUAAGUGCCCCAGCAUGUGGUUCUCUGUUCUAGUGGCCUCAGGACACUCAAAUGAGGGGCCCAUUCCCCAGGGAUGGUGCAGGCUGAGACCUCUGUCUAGGAGACACACCGGUCAAGGGUCAGGGCCUCAACUUGGGCACCCGCAGUCCACUGCCCACCAAGGACCAAAAGACAGAUGAGACUCCGACCAAUGUUUCUUUUAAUAUCCAGUUUGCUCAAAGUCAUGGCCCAUGAGUUAAGCCACAACCGAGCCCUCAUGGCUUCUGGAAGUGCCACGUGGCUUUGCUCAAACACACUCAGGAGCAUGGUGGCGAGUGGCGCCCAGCUCUGGAAGGCCCCUGCCACUCAGGUACAUGUGGUCCCAACUGUGGUGUCUGCCCAGUGGGCUACAAUGUGGAGUGCUUCUCGAAGGGCACAGUCAGGAGGCGGGCGGCCGCCUCGUCCAGGAACCAGCACAGCUUCCCCGUGUGCGGCUGCACCAGAGCGGCGGGGAGCGGGCUCUCCUCGUGGUCUUCCAGGAUGCGCUGCGGUGGGAGGAGCAGGGUCAGGAGUCGGGGCCCUGGUGGCAGCCACCCACUUGGUGCCCCCAGCGCUCCAGAACCCCCAAUGGACAUGAUUCUCGAACCCUGGAGACUGGAUACCACCCUACUUGGCUGUCCUUGUUGUUAUGUGCCUUAAAGUCAAUUCUGACUCAUGGCAACCCCAUCUAUGCCGUGUAGAACUGCUCCAUUGAAUUUUCAAGGCUGUGACCUUUUGGAAGUAGACUGCCAGGCCUGUCUUCUGAGGCACUUCUAGGUGAGUUUAAACCACCAACCUUUUGGCCAGUAGUUGAGUGCUUAACAAUAUGCACCACCCAGGGACUCCCCAGCUGUCCCAGCUUCAAAUAAUUAGAAGGACACAACAGUUUAAUUCCAAACCAAAAACUACACCUGUUGCUGUUGGGUUGAUUCACGGCGGACCCAUGUGUUAGAGCAGAAUCACUUCAUAAGAGUUUUCUUGGCUGCAACCUUCACAGAAGAUUGCCAGGCCUUUAUUCUGUGAUGCCCCUGAGUGGACUUGAUCUACCAACCUUAUAGCUAGUAACCGAGCACAAACAACUGUUUGUGCCACCCUGGGACGUCUCAGUUUAAUUCAGGGGUCGGCAGACCUUUUCUUCAAAGGGCCAGAUCGUCAGUAUUUUUGGCUCUGCAGACUAUAUGGUCUCUGUUGUAACCAUUCGAUACUGCCGUUGUAGUCAAAAGCAGCUGUGGACAAUAUGUGAACAAAUGGUCUUGGCCGUGUGUCAGUGGAACUUUGUUUAUCGACACUGAAUUUGCCUUUGAGUGCAGCUCUGGCCUCAUCUCAUCGAUUUCAUCUCAUGAUCAUUAAUUCCUAAAUAGCUUGUACUUGCAGUUUUGAUCUUCCCUUUGACCUAAGAAUUACUGAAUUAUCUUGAGAUCUGAUGUUUCUGGCACAGUGACACCUGGGGUCAUAUUCUACCCUGAGGCCCUGGGCCAGGGCCCAUGUGUCCAUGACAUUCUUAGAAACAGGGCCCUCGGCCAUUACCUUCAGAACAGCUGCCUUGCCUUCUCCAGUUGCCACAAAGAUGACAGUUCGGGCUGCGUUCAGCACAGGAAGUGUGAGGGUCACUCGCUGAGGUGGUGGCUUUGGGGAGUCGCUGAUGGGAGCCACAAUCUUCUCCUUCUCCUGUGGGAGGGAACCCCGGGAUGCAGGCAGAAGCACAGCGUCGCUUCUACUUCCCGGGCAUUUUUUCCAUGCCAGGCAUGGUCCAUACAUCAUCCCCCCACCCCAUCUCAACCAGCCAUGGUAGCUGAUUCAAGGCCGCCAUUUUCAGACGGGUAAACAAGGGAGGCUCAGGAGGGUUCAGCGUCUUGUCCUGGGUUGCCCCGUAAGGUUGGCUGGCAGAGACUGGCUCAAACCCCAGCUCAAAGCAUCACCCAGCAGGCAGGCAGCCCUCCCUCCAGCAGCCACAGGUGGCCAAGGCUGGGGCUUGGACUUGAGGGGUCUGUGUCAUGCUCACCUGCAGGAGUGGGUGGUCUGGGAAGAGUGAGCAUGUGUGGCCAUCAGGCCCAAUCCCCAGGAUGAGCAGGUCGAAGACUGGGAUGGAGUCUCCUUGGAAGGCCUGGGUUGGGGAGAGGAUGGCACAGACAGGGUAUUAAGGAGGGGCUCAGAGGGCACCAAGGGACAGUUGUCAGAAACAGAAAUGCAAGUGGCUUUAACCCAGUGCUAUGGAUUGAACUGUAUCCCCCCAAAAUAUGUGCUGGAAUCCUAACCCUGUACCUGCGGAUGCUAUCCCAUUUGGAAUAGGGUUUUCUUUGUUAUAUUAAUGAGGCCCUAUCAGUGUAAUCUUAAACCAAUCACUUUUGAGAUAUAAAAGGAGCAGAUGAGGUACAGAAGCAAGGAAGCACAGAUGGGGGCAGACAGGCGCCACCUGGAGAUGGUCAAGGAACUGAGGGACAGAAGCUGAAAAGAGACAAGGUCCUUCCCCCAGAGCAAACAAAGAGAACCUUCCCCUAGAGCCAGUGCCCUGAGUUCAGACUUCUAGCCUCUUGAACUGUGAGAAAAUUAAUUUCUGUUCCUUAAAGCCACCCACUUGUGGUAUUUCUGUCACAGCAGCACUAGACAACUAAGACACCCAGGAAGGAACGCUCAGCCUCACCUGUGAUAAAAGACACUCUAAUCUAUGAAUGGAAACCCUGGUGGCGUAGUGAUUAAGUGCUAUGGCUGCUAACCAAGAGGUCAGCAGUUCAAAUCUGCCAGGCGCUCCUUGGAAACUCUAUGGGGCAGUUCUACCCUGUCCUAUAGGGUCGUUAUGAGUCAGAAUCGAUUCGACGGCAGUGGGUUUUUUUUUAAUCUACGAACUUCUGCUUUUCACCUGUCGGGCCAGCCAGGAGUCACAGAUCUGGGGACACAACUGUUGCAAAGCUAGGGACCCAGGCCCACUACCAGGUUAUCAGACCAGCUUGGAUGCCCCAGGGCAGGGCUGUGGACUCUGGGAAGGCAGAAGCUUUCCAAGAGGGGAAGCCUCAAAGGGGAAGAGGCCUGCUGAUGGCUCCCAGGAGAGUUUCUGCGGGUGACCCCUAUACAAUGCCACAUACAGGUAACCGACAUCCUGGGCAUGGCUGAUGUGGGGGCAUGGCUGAUGUGUGGGCGUAGCCUCCCUUGGGCCCCCUCAGAACUCACCUCUCUCAGCUUCUUGGCAUAGUCCUCGGCUGCCUCCUCCACGGGCAGCAAGGGAUUAAUGGUGAUCACCUGGCCUUCUGGGAUAGGCAGCCUGGACAGCAGCUGGGCCUGCCAGACAGAGGGACAAAAUCACAGCCACCACUCACCCUCUGUGCAGGAGCCCUCACAGAGGAGCUGCUGGACUCCACCAGGCGCCACCUCGUGGACAGUCUUCCCAUUACACCUUUCUACGUGGCUUUGCGUUAAUGCGCUGACCGGGUUUUGCUUAUUAAUUUCACUAUCUGGCCUCUCCUCUCUCAGAGCCCUGUGAGGGCGGAGCCCGCUCUGCCAAGCUCCCCACUGCGUCCCCAGCGCCCAGCACGGGGUCCCACCUACAAGGAGUGCUCAACAUCUGAGCAACUUUCUCUUUUAUUGUUUUGUUGGCUUUUGUUUUUUUCAACCUAAACAAGUACAUUUAUCUUAAAGUGUUUCUAAAAAAGUCUUAAAAAGUUGUGCAAAGUGACAAGAAAGGAACAAAAUUCUGGUUUUCUAAUUUGGCCCAUAGGGAGGUCGCUGAAGAAGUAGGACGCUGAGCAUGCUCUGUCUCGAUGUGUCCCCAGGUGUGGGUAGGACAGGUUCAAGUCCCAACUCAGUUGUGACUCGCUGAGUGACUUGGGCAGGUGAGUGGUCCUCUCUCAACCUCAUAGGGUCCCCAUCUGUAAAAAUGGCUUGGUGCUGGCGUCUGACCUCCUCUAACUUCACACGGGGAGAGGACAAUCAAGAUCAACUGCCCAAGGCUGAUUCCCAUGAGGCCGAGGUAGACACACCUCUUCUCUCCAACCUUUUUAACCAAUACUGACGCCAACCAUCACUCCCACACACUCUACUUCUCUGCUGGGUUCAAUAAUUCAUUGCAAUGGCCACACAGAACUCACAGACAGUACUCACAAUUAUGGUUUUUUUCUUGGGGCGGGGGGAAAUUAACAGGUUACACUUCAGGAUCGGAAACAACUCAGGAUACAGUUUUUUGAUCAGGACAGCCUCUCCUCAGCCGUGCCUGCAAGCAGGCUUCUCUCCGGCCCUUAGCCCUCAGCCUGGCCUCUGUCCUGAUAGGGCAAAUGUUACAAAGCUCUUUAGCUCUGCCAAAAAGUGACCAGAGGCAUCCUACUCUGCCAUUAAGCCUAAAGGCACUCAGCUCUCUAGCUCAGUGGGUCGGCAAGCCUAGCUCCACCAACAAGUAGCCAGAGGCACCCGACUCUGACAGCAAGUCCCCUGGCCAAAGGCGCUCAGCUCUCUUGCUCUGUGGCCUGGGAAGCCCACCGCACCAUCUCCUGCUGGUCUUCUGGUUCUGCUGCCUCUACUGCUGCCAUUUCUCUGCUGUUGCUUCUCACCAUCUCUGUCUCCAGGGUCUAGGAGGUUCUCAGGGCAGGGAUCCUGGGUCCAAAGGAUGUGCUCCACUCCUAGAUCUUCUUUCUUGGUGGUAGUGAAGUCCCCCACGCUUCCUGCCUAGUGGGAUGGCAAAACUGACCAAUCUCCUAAUUAGCGUUCCAUACCCGCACAAGGGUACCAUGCACCUUGUCUGCAUUAUUAGCAAACUGAACAAUCCCUUUGGUGGGCCACAAGCACCUUAUUUGCAUAGCCCCACCCAAUCAUUUGGUGAGAGUUACAAAACCAUGGAGAAAGGCUGUAUAAAAGCCAUCUAUCACACUGCAUCAUCUGUGAAACAGGAGUAACAGCAGCCCUGCUUCAUAGGCUACAGUGGGGACUCAUGAGAUGACACGGAUGAAGUGAUCAGCACCAGGCUGGCAUUUGGCAAAUGUUCCUUCUUAGGAAAAACAAAAGCACCGCUGGGUCACGCCCAGAACAAGGUAAACCCUUGUGGAACCUAGAACUGCUUCAGUGCACGAACACCCAACGUUGCUUCUCCACCAGUUUCCUGGACUCUGAGCUCCUGCCAGGCCCUCUCUACCGGGACCGUGGGUCCCCCUGCAUCUACCUGCCUGACACCUCUGAGGGUCCCCUCCAUCCUGCCCCCAUUUCCUUGCUAGGCUCAUCUUUGCUGCCAGGAGCAAGAGAACACCUUCCUCAAGGUCAGUACCAGGGGCAGGGACCAUGCCUGGCUCAGGUGACCUGUGGCUCCUGGCCAAGCUCGCCCCUCCCUACCUUCCCCAGGUUAUUCUCGUUCCAGACAGGAGGGGGGCUGACUCAUAUAGCCGGGCACCCAGGGCAGGCCACAGCUCCUCCAGCCUAUUUCCCUACUUGUAAAACACGGUAGGUCCCGGACUGUGUUGUUGUUACUGUCAUGGAGUCGUUUCCGACUCAUAGCCACCUCUGUACAACACAAGGAAACACUGCUCUGUCCCGCGCCAUUCUCACAAUCUUCGCUAUGUUUGGACCCAUCGUUGCAGCCACUGUAUCAAUUCGUCUGACUCUACAGAGGCCAAAAUAACAAGACCAGACACCUUAAGAGCAGCAGCCGACUUGACCACCACCGAGAACUCAGGGAAACUGAGGCCCAGGCUGCACGGGGAGGCGUGGCCGGUGGAACACUCGACACCCCCGGCCUUUGACUCCGCACAAUGCAAGGCACAGGCUGGAGCAGGACGCCAGACAAACUUCUCCAGGUCGCUGGACCGGCCAAUCUGUCUCACCGCCAGCCCUUUCCCACGCCAUGCCCUCUUCCUACACAUAGGAUAAAACAAAGGUGGGAUUUCUAAGCCCGCACAGCCCUCCCAGGGAAAGAGGGUGGCGUAGCCUAAGUGGGACUUUACGGCAGCCAGACGACCGCUCCCAGGCUUCUACACAGAUAAAAACAGAGGAUAAGGUUUGACCCUCGGCAACCCCCGUCGCAAGGAUUUAGGCGGUGGCCAGGGCCCGCUCAGCAAGACCCCAGGUGGUCCGCGUACCUAGGAUUUAGGGAGAGGGCAGUGUGCAACCCGAUAGGACCACAGCGGCGUAGGCGGAGUAUAGGCGGUAGGCGUGGCCCACCUCACUACAACGCCCGGAAGCCUCCGCAACCUGGGUUUAGGCGGUGGGCGUGGUCCGCCCUGUCAUGAUCCCUGGCGGCCCCCGUAGCUCUCACCCGGUAGAGGCCGUACGUGCUCUCGGCGUGAUCGAAGGGCACGAGGCGCUCGUCGCAGAAACCCAGCGUCCAGCGCGCGAGGCUGGCGGGCCCGGCGGGGGCAGCAGCGGCGGGCAGCUCGCGGGCCAGCAUCGAGACAAGGCUGCCGCCUGACAGGCCGAGCGCGAAGCGGGCGCGGGCUCCCGCCAGACAGGACUCUGCCCGCUGAGCCACCAGCUGCGCCAGCGAAGCGCCUAGCUCCUGCGGGCUCGAGAAGACUGAAAUGAAGCCCGGGGCUGGCGCGGCCAUGGCGACGGCGGCGAAGGGGAGGCGGAAGCACUCCCGCAGCCCCCAGUGCGCCUGCGCUAGGGCAGGCCCAGUCGCACGGUUCUCGGAACGCGGAUGUGAUCGGUCAUUGUGCAUGCGCAUUCCAAGAUGUGAAGCCGUGCCAGUGCUGGGCCGCCCGUUCUCUUACUCUAUUUUCGUUUUAUUAAUUCUGCUGUGUCUGACCCGACUGCUGGGUUGGGCAGGUGGAGCCGGACACAAACGCUCUCAACCUCGUGGCGUCAGGAUAGGGCCAGAGGAGGACCUCGAGCUGAGGGAGCCGGAGCGGGGGAUGCGGAAUGAGGGAGGGAGGUGCGUUGGGCUUUGAAAUACCCGCACCUUCUGACGUAUUUGUUUAUGAUUUGUCGUCUUUCGAUUUCUUAGGAACAUAAGCUCCAGCAUGGGUGCACAACUUAAAGAAUGUAAUCGAUGUCACUGAAUUGUACCUGUAGAAGUUAUUGAGUUGGUGUAUGCUUUGUCACGUGUAUUUUCACCACAAUAAAAAUAAAUUCCAUGA
This is a long non-coding RNA of Loxodonta africana (African savanna elephant), 9020 nucleotides long. RefSeq lists it as uncharacterized. The transcript has 3 exons. NCBI's taxonomy places the organism in Eukaryota, Metazoa, Chordata, Mammalia, Proboscidea, Elephantidae. The record is from RefSeq and is a predicted model, not a curated record.